GAUGAACGCUGGCGGCGUGCCUAAUACAUGCAAGUAGAACGCUGAAGGAGGAGCUUGCUCUUCUGGAUGAGUUGCGAACGGGUGAGUAACGCGUAGGUAACCUGCCUGGUAGCGGGGGAUAACUAUUGGAAACGAUAGCUAAUACCGCAUGACAACAGUUAUUGCAUGAUAACUGUUUAAAAGGGGCAACUGCUCCACUACCAGAUGGACCUGCGUUGUAUUAGCUAGUUGGUGAGGUAACGGCUCACCAAGGCGACGAUACAUAGCCGACCUGAGAGGGGGAUCGGCCACACUGGGAGUGAGACACGGCCCAGACUCCUACGGGAGGCAGCAGUAGGGAAUCGUCGGCAAUGGACGGAAGUCUGACCGAGCAACGCCGCGUGAGUGAAGAAGGUUUUCGGAUCGUAAAGCUCUGUUGUAAGAGAAGAACGAGUGUGAGAGUGGAAAGUUCACACUGUGACGGUAUCUUACAAGAAAGGGACGGCUAACUACGUG
Molecule: ribosomal RNA, 495 nt
Filed under: uncultured bacterium
Lineage: Bacteria
Description: partial 16S ribosomal RNA
Rfam family: Bacterial small subunit ribosomal RNA
Source: RNAcentral